Molecule: long non-coding RNA, 758 nt
Filed under: Androctonus crassicauda
Lineage: Eukaryota; Metazoa; Arthropoda; Arachnida; Scorpiones; Buthidae
Source: RNAcentral
CUCUAAUUAAUGAUUAGCAAACGUUCAUUAAUUAAAAUAACAAAUUUUGAUAUAUUUAGAUAACAAUUUGACUAGAGACUUUUACGAUUUUUGGAGCAUUUAAAACGCUUUCAAUUUCCAUAUUUUUUUUUUUCUUUUAGAGGCAAAGCAAUUAUGUUUUUUACAUUUAAGAGUUUCUCAAUUUUUUUUUUUGUUUUUUUGGCAUUGCAAGAAGCCUGCAAUCAUAAUUAAAAGAUAGAUAUGUUAAUUUAUAAGUAAUUUUAACAUAUUAGCUAUUGCUAACGUUGACAGUGUCAGGCCUGGAUAGAAUUUGUUAUAACGUUGAGGUAAACGCAUGUUGAAAAAUCGAAGCGAGGUGCUGCUAGCGUGUAAAGAAAGCCGCGAACUAAUACUGUGUGUUUACCCCCUCACGCAAUGCCACUGGCACGUGGUCCUCCAGCUGUCAACGGUCGCUUUCCUGCGAACAAAGCGCCAGACAAAGCAUUCCCGCCAACCAGUGAGGUCCUCGUCCAGGCAUGACCUUCCCCCAACAAAUUGGCAACUAGUAGACAAGUUAUAACAAUUUGCACCGGACGCGAUAACUAUUUAAUUACUAUCACUUUCCUUCAAUUCCGACCGCGAUACGAAAUCAAACUGUUGUCGUCUCCGAAGGGACGAUCAAAGCACAAAAAAAAAAAAAAAAAAAAUGAAUUAUUGAUUUUUUUUUUACGCGGGGGGGCCAAUUACAUUGAAAAUUCGGGCCGUGUAAUGGGGAAGGC